This is a long non-coding RNA of Planococcus citri (citrus mealybug), 2031 nucleotides long. RefSeq lists it as uncharacterized. The transcript has 2 exons. NCBI's taxonomy places the organism in Eukaryota, Metazoa, Arthropoda, Insecta, Hemiptera, Pseudococcidae. The record is from RefSeq and is a predicted model, not a curated record.
UAGAACAUGCUCUUUCCAAAAAUCGCGGUCCCGUUCAAAUCGGGGGCGGAUACCUCGAGAGGUUCCCUUGUAAGUACCUGCGUCUGAGUGUCGAAUAAAAAAUGUGAUGAAAAUCAAAGUUCAAUAUUUUUUAUCAUUCUGGAGUUUACAGCGCGAUUUUCGAUUUCUCUGUAAUUUUUACAUUUUUCCAGAAAGAAAAGAGAAUUGAUUUGGCAGCUAAAAUUGAACUUGUGGCUAAUUUUCGACUUGUUUGGAGGGUUUAUUUACAUUCGAUCGGGUUUCAAGGCGAACAUCUCAAGUUCAAUCUCUGGCUAGAAUUAAAAUGAAAAAAUUCAAAAAAAUGAAAGUUUUUCUAUGCCGAGAAAUUUUUUUUGAAAUUUGCACGAAUGGUGGUAUGUACUUUGUCUAAAAUUAAUCCUCCGAAUUAGAAUUCCACAAUUUCGAGCCAUUAGCGAGAUUUUUGAUUUCUUCAAAAUUCAAAAUUUUUCAGAAAGUUUAAUUGUGACUUAUUAUUGACUUUCUUGAAGGUUUUACCCUUAUUUGGACCACCGUUUAGACGACAUACUUAUCGAUGGCGUUUUUCUGACCAGCACAGGCUAGAUACCUACUUUAUGAAGAAAGCAAUCCAAAAAAAUCAAAAACUUAAUGUUUGUAAGAAAAUAUUUGAAAUCUACACGAAUUGCCAUAUCAGUAGUGAGAUAUAACCGAGCUCUAGACCCCCACAUUUUCAAAGGAGCAAAAGGAGCAAUCCUUUUCCUAUGGCUCCUUUGAAAAGGUGGUCCCAAGCUCGGUUAUACGCUUACCAGGUUUCAAAAGCGUAAACCUAAACAUCGCGCCGAAGUCUCCCCACCCCCCCUCUCUCCCUCAACCAUACAUUAGCCCAAAUUGAAGCUUACUUGACCCCUUUAAUUAACUAAAAUAUUCGUUUUAUCCCUACUUUUUUUUCAGGGUGGGAGUAUUUGGUCUCUCUAAAAAUAAUCGUUGAAAAAUUAGGUGCAAUCAUUACUAUUUGGUCACUUCUUUUAUCCACUUGUUAGAUUAACGCGGAGUUUUCGUGAUAUUUUUCUCACUUUUUUUUCAAUUUUUAUAGUGUUGAUCUGAACUUCUUGUUUUAAAGAAAAAGUGUAACUAUCACCGAUCAUUAUGAGUUUCAAUAACGAUAAUAGUGCUACUGCUAGUACCUCGACAUCAUCUGUCAACCAACAACUUGAUCAAAAUUCAGCUGAAGCAAUACGAAGCAAAUCCAUACUGGUUUAGAUGUUGAUAAUUGGUUCGAGCCAACAAUCUACCUUGCAAAAAAUUCUCUGCCAAAAGGACCUGGAUUGUACAUGAAGGUUCAAACUUUCCAAGAGCUCAUGUCCGAAGAAAAUAUCAACAUUAUAAAUAACUACUUCAAAGGUAUUAACGAGGAGGAGUACAAAUCAAAAACACUCAUGAUCAAUAAAUACCUUACGGUACAAUUUAGAUAUACUUACAGUGUAAAGUCAAUUGUUAUUGCUAAUACUAUAUUUUUACAAUUAGCUUCUUGGAAUAAUUUAGUCAAAUUGUAUUACUGCAUACCCUCAAUUAGUGAAGAUUUGUCUCAUAAGGCUGAUAGUUGCAGAAAUUUGUAUGAUUACGUUUUUAAUAAGGUACAGUCUGCUAUUCUUGAGAAAUUGAAUUAUCAUGACACUGAUAAUUUAGACCAUCGUAUAAGAAAACUAUACUAUCAUUCUCUAAAACAAUUUGACCCAAAGAUUGAUACUACUGAUAGAGUCUAUUAUGAAGUAACAACUUUUUGUGAUGAUAGUAUUGUAAAUGGUCUCACAACAAAGUUUAAACAUAUGUCACCUGCAUACAUCGAUAUCAUGAAAAUGCAACAUUAUGUGGCUGAACAGGAACGAUGUUUAGAUGCUGACGUAACUGACAACCCAACAUUCUAAGACAUUUUCACCUAAAAUAACUGACAAUAACGUAUUUUAAGGCAUUUCAACUUAAGAUGUAAAUUAAUUAAUGCAUUUGAGCCUAUUAAAAUAAAUAUGUAAAUAAAUA